Molecule: ribosomal RNA, 465 nt
Filed under: uncultured bacterium
Lineage: Bacteria
Description: partial 16S ribosomal RNA
Rfam family: Bacterial small subunit ribosomal RNA
Source: RNAcentral
CCUACGGGAGGCAGCAGUGGGGAAUAUUGCGCAAUGGGCGAAAGCCUGACGCAGCGACGCCGCGUGAGGGAUGAAGGUCUUCGGAGCGGAAAACUCUGUCAGCAGGGAAGAACGGUCACUGUGCUAAUCAGCAGUGAAUUGACGGUACCUGCAAAGGAAGCACCGGCUAACUCCGUGCCAGCAGCCGCGGUAAUACGGAGGGGGCGAGCGUUAAUCGGAAUUACUGGGCGUAAAGCGCGCGUAGGCGGUAUGUCAAGUCAAGGGUGAAAUCCCCGCGCUCAACGUGGGAACUGCCUUUGAAACUGGCAAACUUGAGUGUGUGAGAGGAUAGUGGAAUUCCAGGUGUAGGAGUGAAAUCCGUAGAUAUCUGGAGGAACAUCAGUGGCGAAGGCGACUAUCUGGCACAUAACUGACGCUGAGGAGCGAAAGCGUGGGUAGCAAACAGGAUUAGAUACCCCAGUAGUC